GACCCACACGACACUCCUGGGAAGCAGAAGCCCCAUUUUAGAGAUGGGAAAACUGAGUCUGUGCACCAUGCACAGGGGACUCAGCAGCUCAGAGGCAGAGCCCAGAUUCGCACCCAGGCGGUCUGAGCCCAUAGGGUGCUCUGCUUCCUCUAUACAGAGCACUCUCGCUUCUACCUCCGAGGGUGGAGCCCAGGGUGCUGGGAACCAUCCCACAACACAUGAGAUGGCCCCACCACGAAGGGCUCUCACCCCCAGGGUGCACAGUGGAGGAACCCUGUCCUAGUGGGACCAGCCCUGACCUCAGAUGGCCUGUAUCCAUAAAAGGAAAAAUGGACUAGUUGGGCUUCAUCAGAGUGGGAAAGAAUAUUUGCAAACCACAUAUUUGGCAAAGGAGUAGUAUCUAGAAUAUAUAAAGAAUGCUCAAAAUUCAAUAGUAAAAAAGCAAGUCAUUCAACUAGAACAUGGCAUGAAUGAGUGAAAAGGCAUGAACAGACAUUUCCCCAAGGAAGAUAUACAGAUGGCAAAUAAACACAUGAAAAGAUGUUCAAUUUGGCUAUCCAUCAGGGGAAUGCAAAUUAAAAUCAUAAUAAGAUAUUCUUAAAUAUCUGUCAGGAUGGCUAAAAUAGGGAAAAAUUGACUAUAACAAAAGCUGGUGAGAAGGUGUCCAAACAGAAUUCCUCAUACACUGCUGGAGGGAAUAUAAAAUAUUAUAGCCAUUGUAGAAAAUAUGUUAGUAGUUUCUUAAAAAAAAAAAGAAACUUUCAAUUACCAUAG
RNAcentral lists this long non-coding RNA (774 nucleotides) under Pan troglodytes (chimpanzee). RNAcentral's name for it is "long non-coding RNA NONPTRT000841". The record is from RNAcentral. Lineage: Eukaryota; Metazoa; Chordata; Mammalia; Primates; Hominidae.